GUCUCGUUGGCGCAAUCGGUUAGCGCGUUCGGCUGUUAACUGAAAGGUUGGUGGUUCAAGCCCACCCAGGUACG
RNAcentral lists this transfer RNA (74 nucleotides) under Danio rerio (zebrafish). It matches the Rfam family "tRNA". From Rfam's summary of the family: Transfer RNA (tRNA) molecules are approximately 80 nucleotides in length. Lineage: Eukaryota; Metazoa; Chordata; Actinopteri; Cypriniformes; Danionidae. The record is from Rfam by way of RNAcentral.